UCAACCGAUUCUGUUAUCGGAACUGAUAUCGUCGGUGUUGGUGAUGAAGGUGACGAAUCUAUAUUAUGAGAUUGUCUUGACUCUUCCAACUCAUUUUCUGAAUUUUGAUUUGACUCAACCGAGUUGUUUAUCACUGGUUGAAUAAUUUGUUUUAUAGCCAAAGAAAAUAUUGGGCCAUUAAUUUUAUUUAAGCUUUGUUCAUUCUUUUUGAUAGUCUUAUUUGGAUAUAUAGAUUUUAAGAACUUAACAUUUUUUGAUAUAAACACUUUCCCAGUAUCUAACUCCAAACAUCAAUAUCCUUUUUGAGAAUAAGCAUAACCUAUAAAACACAUUCAGAUGUUUUGGAGUGAAUUUUGAUAUUCCCUUACUUUUAAACGUUCGGAAGAAAUUAUAAUUUGGAUCCCUAUUAAAAAUCAAAUGAAAAGGAGAUUUAUGAGCUAAUAGUACAGUAGGCAAUCUAUUAAUAACAUACACUAAGUUAAUUGCUUACGCCCAAAACAUAAACGGUAAAUUUGAUUGUGCCAGGGAAAGCGACGAUCUUCCCCACAUGGCCUGAGAAGAGGUGCCUAGGCCAGAACCCGCAUCACCUACGGUCGAGAUCCAGCUAGUGGGGGGUACGAUCAAAAUCGGCGCCCAUCUUAACACGACCAUGCGUUCCAGAAUCAUAAAGUAAUUAGUAAGAAGGAACGGGGAUUUAUUUGCACGCAACCUCAAGGACCUCAGAGGCGUCGCCUGCGCGACUGCAGAGCACAAACUUGACUAGGGUUUAGGCUAUUGUUGGGGGAUCGGUACAAGGCUAUCCUUGUUAAAAGUAUAACGUCGAUCCAACGACGGACUUGGGAGCUGUGGGCUGGCUCCGGUAGACAGAGCUCGUCGUCCGGCGAGCAAUUGAAGAAAGGGGGGAAAGAAGUUAGGUUAAUUCGCAUUAACCAACAAGUAGCCGUUAUUCACUGUAGAACUGUAAUUAGUCACUAAUCAUGCAAAUCAGUGUAUACUCGAUUGAAUUAAUUUCGUUUAAUUACAAUAGACUAUUUAACUAAGAUUAUUACUAACUAACUAAUACAAACUAAUAAC
This 1074-nucleotide long non-coding RNA is filed under the name Zostera marina. Its description in RNAcentral is "long non-coding RNA (ZMAR_LNC005968)". The record is from RNAcentral. Lineage: Eukaryota; Viridiplantae; Streptophyta; Magnoliopsida; Alismatales; Zosteraceae.